This is a long non-coding RNA of Prunus persica (peach), 417 nucleotides long. RefSeq lists it as uncharacterized. The record is from RefSeq and is a predicted model, not a curated record. The transcript has 3 exons. Lineage: Eukaryota; Viridiplantae; Streptophyta; Magnoliopsida; Rosales; Rosaceae.
CUCGUCGCCGGAAAACGCGAAUUUCAGGCCGAUCCUUGUCUGAGCUUCCAGUCGAUCGUUCUCUCUCCUCCGAGCACUAUUUCAGACGGGUGAGGUAUUUCGACUGCACGCACGCAGCAAGCAGGACCUUCACGUGGUCAGGCAGCGAGGGAAUACUUCCAGUAGUUGCUCCUGGAAGUACAAGUGGUGUCUGCAGCGGAGUCAGUGCAUCUUUAUAAUUAAGAACUGUGUAAAUUCUUAUACUCAACUGUUCUUGUAAUCUAAAUUCAGUAGAUGCUCUGUAUGCCAUGGUAGAUUUUACUUGUGAGGCCGGAGGCCACUCUAGUAUGACUUGUGUGUGUAUGAAAGCAUGCUGCUGGUUGGGAUUAGUAUUACUGUGUGUUGCAGGUUGAAUAAAUUUUGUUGGGAUUGCUUAAA